GAUGAAGAACGUAGCGAAAUGCGAUAAGUAAUGUGAAUUGCAGAUUUCAGUGAAUCAUCGAAUCUUUGAACGCACCUUGCGCCUUGUGGUAUUCCACAAGGCAUGCCCGUUUGAGUAUCAUUAAAUCAUCAACUCUAAAACCUUUGUGGUUUUUUUAGAGCUUGGUCUUGAGGGUUUUGCAGGCUUUUUUUUUCGAGUCUGCUCCCUUUAAAUGCAUUAGCGAGACUUCCCUAUGCUGACCCGUCUCUUUGACGUGAUAAUUAUCUGCGUCGAAUUUUGGUUCUCGUUGGGCUUGCUUCUAAUCGUCUGUUAAAGACAAAACGGAUUUGGGUGCAUAUAUGCGCCUUUUUCCAAAACCUUUUUUGAUCUCAAAUCGGGUAGGACUACCCGCUGAACUUAAGCAUAUCAAUAAGCGGAGGA
RNAcentral lists this unclassified non-coding RNA (420 nucleotides) under soil metagenome. RNAcentral describes it as "partial contains 5.8S ribosomal RNA, internal transcribed spacer 2, and large subunit ribosomal RNA". The stretch from base 1 to 120 matches the Rfam family "5.8S ribosomal RNA", at positions 35 to 154 of the family's 154-position model. The record is from RNAcentral.